AGUUGGGGAGACGUCAUGAGGGGAGGAAAGGCCGAGGAGUGGGGGAGAUGUCAUGAAGGGAGGAAAGGCCGAGGAGUGGGGAAGAUGUCAUGAGGGGAGGAAAGGCUGAGGAGUAGGGGUAGACGUCAUGAGGGGAGGAAAGGCUGAGGAGUAGGGGCGGAUGUCAUGAGGGGAGGAAAGGCUGAGGAGUGGGGGAGAUGUCAUGAGGGGAGGAAAGGCUGAGGAGUAGGGGGAGAUGUCAUGAGGGGAGGAAAGGCUGAGGAGUAGGGGAAGAUGUCAUGAAGGGAGGAAAGGCUGAGGAGUGGGGGAGAUGUCAUGAGGGGAGGAAAGGCUGAGGAGUAGAGGAGAUGUUAUGAGGGGAGGAAAGGCUGAGGAAUGGGGGAGAUGUCAUGGGGGGAGAUGUCAUGGGGGGAGGAAAGGCUGAGGAGUGGGGGAGAUGUCAUGAGGGGAGGAAAGGCUGAGGAGUGGGGGAGAUGUC
This 478-nucleotide long non-coding RNA is filed under the name Homo sapiens (human). Its description in RNAcentral is "HSALNT0083164". Lineage: Eukaryota; Metazoa; Chordata; Mammalia; Primates; Hominidae. The record is from RNAcentral.